CUGACAAUCACCUCACAUCCCUUAGCACCGCUUUCCAUAAUAAAUCUCAACACACCAUAACAGGCCCUGCGAACUGCAAGACCACCAAGAAGCUUGUAGCGAAGAGACUCAGCCUGAGCAAUGGCGCAAAGCCCUCUGUUGUUAACCUUCUCAGCGUAGAGUUCGACGCUGUUCUCUGGGAAUUUAAACCUCUUUUGUACCACUGAGGUCAGUUCCCUGAUCCUCCUCCCCUUCUCACCCAGAACAUUUUGGGUGCGGGUGGCUCUGAUGAUGAUCUCAGUGCGCAUAGGGGUGACCCUAACCUCAACACCAGAGUAUCCAUCCUCGGCAAGCUCUCUGGUCAAGACCUCGUUAAGCUCGGCAUAGAAAACUCCAUCAGCGACGAACUUUCGCUUCUUGCUUAUUUGAGUCGCCAUUUUGUAGUGUCGAUAAUGGAGUUAGUAGGUUACUUGCAGAAGCGAAGAUCUUAGUGCACGGUGGUAGGCGCUCUGCAAACCCUAGCCUGAGGGUUGGAAGACGAAAAAUAGUGAGUUUAUAUGUUAGGAAGGUUUGGAUCGGACGGUGGAUGUUGAUUCUAGGGGAAUUCUAGGGUUUACUUCUCAACGGAUGGGAUUCUUUGAGGGGUUUGCUCAUUCGGCAUUGGGUUGGUAUUUGGAUGAGGUUAAAUUUUGGAUGAGAGCCGACAGGAAUGGCAACGGGCGGGUCGAUAGCAAGAAUGAUCCCCCC
Molecule: unclassified non-coding RNA, 726 nt
Filed under: Hevea brasiliensis (rubber tree)
Lineage: Eukaryota; Viridiplantae; Streptophyta; Magnoliopsida; Malpighiales; Euphorbiaceae
Source: RNAcentral